Molecule: ribosomal RNA, 253 nt
Filed under: uncultured bacterium
Lineage: Bacteria
Description: partial 16S ribosomal RNA
Rfam family: Bacterial small subunit ribosomal RNA
Source: RNAcentral
UACGGAGGGAGCUAGCGUUGUUCGGAAAUACUGGGCGUAAAGCGCACGUAGGCGGCGCAGCAAGUCAGGGGUGAAAUCCCGGGGCUCAACCCCGGAACUGCCCUUGAAACUGCAGUGCUAGAAUUCUGGAGAGGCGAGUGGAAUUCCGAGUGUAGAGGUGAAAUUCGUAGAUAUUCGGAAGAACACCAGUGGCGAAGGCGACUCGCUGGACAGACAUUGACGCUGAGGCGCGAAAGCCAGGGGAGCAAACGGG